GAUGAACGCUGGCGGCGUGCCUAAUACAUGCAAGUCGAGCGGACGGACGAGAAGCUUGCUUCUCUGAUGUUAGCGGCGGACGGGUGAGUAACACGUGGAUAACCUACCUAUAAGACUGGGAUAACUUCGGGAAACCGGAGCUAAUUCCGGAUGAUAUUUUGAACCGCAUGGUUCAAAAGUGAAAGACGGUCUUGCUGUCACUUAUAGAUGGAUCCGCGCUGCAUUAGCUAGUUGGUAAGGUAACGGCUUACCAAGGCAACGAUGCAUAGCCGACCUGAGAGGGUGAUCGGCCACACUGGAACUGAGACACGGUCCAGACUCCUACGGGAGGCAGCAGUAGGGAAUCUUCCGCAAUGGGCGAAAGCCUGACGGAGCAACGCCGCGUGAGUGAUGAAGGUCUUCGGAUCGUAAAACUCUGUUAUUAGGGAAGAACAUAUGUGUAAGUAACUGUGCACAUCUUGACGGUACCUAAUCAGAAAGCCACGGCUAACUACGUG
RNAcentral lists this ribosomal RNA (497 nucleotides) under uncultured bacterium. RNAcentral's name for it is "partial 16S ribosomal RNA". It matches the Rfam family "Bacterial small subunit ribosomal RNA", at positions 28 to 507 of the family's 1533-position model. The record is from RNAcentral.